GAGUUUGAUCAUGGCUCAGAUUGAACGCUGGCGGCAGGCUUAACACAUGCAAGUCGAGCGGGGGAAGGUAGCUUGCUACCGGACCUAGCGGCGGACGGGUGAGUAAUGCUUAGGAAUCUGCCUAUUAGUGGGGGACAACAUCUCGAAAGGGAUGCUAAUACCGCAUACGUCCUACGGGAGAAAGCAGGGGAUCUUCGGACCUUGCGCUAAUAGAUGAGCCUAAGUCGGAUUAGCUAGUUGGUGGGGUAAAGGCCUACCAAGGCGACGAUCUGUAGCGGGUCUGAGAGGAUGAUCCGCCACACUUGGACUGAGACACGGCCCAGACUCCUACGGGAGGCAGCAGUGGGGAAUAUUGGACAAUGGGGGGAACCCUGAUCCAGCCAUGCCGCGUGUGUGAAGAAGGCCUUAUGGUUGUAAAGCACUUUAAGCGAGGAGGAGGCUACUUUAGUUAAUACCUAGAGAUAGUGGACGUUACUCGCAGAAUAAGCACCGGCUAACUCUGUGCCAGCAGCCGCGGUAAUACAGAGGGUGCGAGCGUUAAUCGGAUUUACUGGGCGUAAAGCGUGCGUAGGCGGCUUAUUAAGUCGGAUGUGAAAUCCCCGAGCUUAACUUGGGAAUUGCAUUCGAUACUGGUGAGCUAGAGUAUGGGAGAGGAUGGUAGAAUUCCAGGUGUAGCGGUGAAAUGCGUAGAGAUCUGGAGGAAUACCGAUGGCGAAGGCAGCCAUCUGGCCUAAUACUGACGCUGAGGUACGAAAGCAUGGGGAGCAAACAGGAUUAGAUACCCUGGUAGUCCAUGCCGUAAACGAUGUCUACUAGCCGUUGGGGCCUUUGAGGCUUUAGUGGCGCAGCUAACGCGAUAAGUAGACCGCCUGGGGAGUACGGUCGCAAGACUAAAACUCAAAUGAAUUGACGGGGGCCCGCACAAGCGGUGGAGCAUGUGGUUUAAUUCGAUGCAACGCGAAGAACCUUACCUGGCCUUGACAUACUAGAAACUUUCCAGAGAUGGAUUGGUGCCUUCGGGAAUCUAGAUACAGGUGCUGCAUGGCUGUCGUCAGCUCGUGUCGUGAGAUGUUGGGUUAAGUCCCGCAACGAGCGCAACCCUUUUCCUUACUUGCCAGCAUUUCGGAUGGGAACUUUAAGGAUACUGCCAGUGACAAACUGGAGGAAGGCGGGGACGACGUCAAGUCAUCAUGGCCCUUACGGCCAGGGCUACACACGUGCUACAAUGGUCGGUACAAAGGGUUGCUACACAGCGAUGUGAUGCUAAUCUCAAAAAGCCGAUCGUAGUCCGGAUUGGAGUCUGCAACUCGACUCCAUGAAGUCGGAAUCGCUAGUAAUCGCGGAUCAGAAUGCCGCGGUGAAUACGUUCCCGGGCCUUGUACACACCGCCCGUCACACCAUGGGAGUUUGUUGCACCAGAAGUAGCUAGCCUAACUGCAAAGAGGGCGGUUACCACGGUGUGGCCGAUGACUGGGGUGAAGUCGUAACAAGGUAGCCGUAGGGGAACCUGCGGCUGGAUCACC
RNAcentral lists this ribosomal RNA (1523 nucleotides) under Acinetobacter baumannii 144107. RNAcentral's name for it is "bacterial SSU rRNA". It matches the Rfam family "Bacterial small subunit ribosomal RNA". Lineage: Bacteria; Pseudomonadati; Pseudomonadota; Gammaproteobacteria; Moraxellales; Moraxellaceae. The record is from RNAcentral.